RNAcentral lists this ribosomal RNA (426 nucleotides) under uncultured Chamaesiphon sp. RNAcentral describes it as "bacterial SSU rRNA". It matches the Rfam family "Bacterial small subunit ribosomal RNA", at positions 355 to 795 of the family's 1533-position model. The record is from RNAcentral. Lineage: Bacteria; Bacillati; Cyanobacteriota; Cyanophyceae; Gomontiellales; Chamaesiphonaceae.
UGGGGAAUUUUCCGCAAUGGGCGCAAGCCUGACGGAGCAAUACCGCGUGAGGGAGGAAGGCUCUUGGGUCGUAAACCUCUUUUCUCAGGGAAGAACACAAUGACGGUACCUGAGGAAUCAGCAUCGGCUAACUCCGUGCCAGCAGCCGCGGUAAUACGGAGGAUGCAAGCGUUAUCCGGAAUGAUUGGGCGUAAAGCGUCCGUAGGUGGUUUUGUAAGUCUGUGGUUAAAGCGUGUAGCUCAACUACAUAAGGGCCAUGGAAACUACAAGACUUGAGUGAGGUAGGGGUAGAGGGAAUUCCCAGUGUAGCGGUGAAAUGCGUAGAGAUUGGGAAGAACACCGGUGGCGAAAGCGCUCUACUGGACUUAUACUGACACUGAGGGACGAAAGCUAGGGGAGCGAAAGGGAUUAGAUACCCCUGUAGUC